RNAcentral lists this ribosomal RNA (1142 nucleotides) under Limnonectes pseudodoriae. RNAcentral describes it as "partial large subunit ribosomal RNA". It matches the Rfam family "Bacterial large subunit ribosomal RNA", at positions 756 to 2597 of the family's 2925-position model. Lineage: Eukaryota; Metazoa; Chordata; Amphibia; Anura; Dicroglossidae. The record is from RNAcentral.
CUCAAAACAGCUUACUGAGCUAAUCCGUCUCUGUCGCAAAAGAGUGGAAUGAUUUUCAGGUAGAGGUGAAAAGCCUACCGAGCUUAGAGAUAGCUGGUUUUUCAGGAAAAGAAUUUUAGUUCAACCUUAAGCCUCCCAUUUACUUCAACAAGCCCACUAGGCUCAAGAGCCAGUCAAAUAAGGCACAGCUUAUUUGACAAAGGAGACAGCCUACAAAAAAGGGUAAGCCCUAAGACCAACUUAAGUGGGCCCAAAAGCAGCCACCUUUAAGAAAGCGUUAAAGCUCUAUUUUUACUAAAAACUAAUACCCAACCACCCGUCUAACCCUUUAAUUCUACUGAAGGAUUCUAUAAUUAUAUAGAAGCCCCAAUGCUAAAACUAGUAACAAGAGCUUGAACCCUCUCCAAAAUACAAGUAUAAGUCAAAACGGACUAACCGCUGACAAUUAACACCCUUGACUCAAAUAUAACAACUAGACAAGAAAAUAUUAUAAAAGCUUAUGUUAAUCUUACACAAGUGUAUUUCUGGAAAGAUUAAAAAAAAGUGAAGGAACUCGGCAAACCUUAACCCCGCCUGUUUACCAAAAACAUCGCCUCUUGAUAUAACAUAAGAGGUCUAGCCUGCCCAGUGAUAUAAUUAAACGGCCGCGGUACCCUAACCGUGCAAAGGUAGCAUAAUCACUUGUCUUCUAAAUAAAGACUUGUAUCAACGGCAUCACGAGGGUUAGACUGUCUCCCCUUUUUAAUCAGUGAAUCUGACCUUCCCGUGAAGAGGCGGGAAUACAAAUACAAGACGAGAAGACCCCAUGGAGCUUUAAACCCAAUGACAACCUUUAUUUUACUAUAGCUAUUUAACCAAAAGGGUGUGCCCAUUGGUUUUAGGUUGGGGUGACCGUGGGGUAAAACCAAACCCCCAUGACGAACCUUGUUCAUCCUAAUCCCAGAGCUACUGCUCCACGAAUCAAAACUUUGACGUAAACUGACCCGCUUAGCGAUCAACGAACCAAGUUACCCUGGGGAUAACAGCGCAAUCCAUUUCAAGAGCCCCUAUCGACAAAUGGGUUUACGACCUCGAUGUUGGAUCAGGGUAUCCCAGUGGCGCAGUCGCUACUAAAGGUUUGUUUGUUCAACAAUUAAAACCCU